RNAcentral lists this unclassified non-coding RNA (439 nucleotides) under plant metagenome. Its description in RNAcentral is "partial contains small subunit ribosomal RNA, internal transcribed spacer 1, and 5.8S ribosomal RNA". The record is from RNAcentral.
UUUCCGUAGGUGAACCUGCGGAAGGAUCAUUGCACACACGAUGCAGCAAACUAGCGAACUGUGUUUGUCCCCCACCUACCCCAAACACGAGGGGCCGCAUCUGGAGGUGCGGCUGUCGACGGCAAGGUCCCGACCUUCGGGUCCCCGCAGUGGUUCCCGCAAGCGGGCUGAUCAUGUGGCCGUCUGGGUGUCCCGCGCGGGCUCUCGCCUUGCCUUAGGGUUGGGCGACGCGGGCAUUCUCCUCCCUUCGAUGGCGUCGUCCCCUCCUCCGGGAGAGCGACACGCCUCGAGGGCCGUUUACAACUUUGCACCAUGUACAACACCAGUGACUGAGUAUCCCCGUGUCCCGGUUCCGCUGCUGCACUCGGGUGGUGCGGGCUUGGUCCAUAGGAACAAGAGUAAAUAAAAACAACUCUCAGCAACGGAUAUCUUGGCUCUU